AUUGUUAAUUAAACAGUUUGUUUGUCGUUGCAGACACAUCUGGGAAUCACGCUGGAGCAAACAGUGGGGCGAUUGUUGGAGGGGUGUUAGGCGGUUUCCUCGUUGUUGUUACAUCUAUCUUUACAGUGAUAGUUGUGAUCUUAUGGAGAAGAUCAAAAACAAAAGCUUUACCAGAGGGUACUGAAAACAGGCAGAUGUCACCGGCAGGAGACCUCAUCGGAGAAAUGCGGACGAUACCGAGACCAGCCGAUACUCACCAUGACCCUGCUGUCAAUAUCG
Molecule: long non-coding RNA, 279 nt
Organism: Liolophura sinensis
Lineage: Eukaryota; Metazoa; Mollusca; Polyplacophora; Chitonida; Chitonidae
Exons: 3
Source: RefSeq, a predicted model, not a curated record